CUACGUGCCAGCAGCCGCGGUAAUACGUAGGUCCCGAGCGUUGUCCGGAUUUAUUGGGCGUAAAGCGAGCGCAGGCGGUUAGAUAAGUCUGAAGUUAAAGGCAGUGGCUCAACCAUUGUAGGCUUUGGAAACUGUUUAACUUGAGUGCAGAAGGGGAGAGUGGAAUUCCAUGUGUAGCGGUGAAAUGCGUAGAUAUAUGGAGGAACACCGGUGGCGAAAGCGGCUCUCUGGUCUGUAACUGACGCUGAGGCUCGAAAGCGUGGGGAGCGAACAGGAUUAGAUACCCUGGUAGUCCACGCCGUAAACGAUGAGUGCUAGGUGUUAGGUCCUUUCCGGGACUUAGUGCCGCAGCUAACGCAUUAAGCACUCCGCCUGGGGAGUACGACCGCAAGGUUGAAACUCAAAGGAAUUGACGGGGGCCCGCACAAGCGGUGGAGCAUGUGGUUUAAUUCGAAGCAACGCGAAGAACCUUACCAGGUCUUGACAUCCCUCUGACCGCUCUAGAGAUAGAGUUUUC
RNAcentral lists this ribosomal RNA (517 nucleotides) under uncultured bacterium. RNAcentral describes it as "bacterial SSU rRNA". It matches the Rfam family "Bacterial small subunit ribosomal RNA", at positions 501 to 1016 of the family's 1533-position model. The record is from RNAcentral.